Molecule: ribosomal RNA, 797 nt
Filed under: uncultured bacterium
Lineage: Bacteria
Description: bacterial SSU rRNA
Rfam family: Bacterial small subunit ribosomal RNA
Source: RNAcentral
CGAGGGGCAGCACAGGUAGCAAUACCGGGUGGCGACCGGCGCACGGGUGAGUAACGCGUAUGCAACUUACCUAUCAGAGGGGGAUAACCCGGCGAAAGUCGGACUAAUACCGCAUAAAGCAGGGAUCCCGCAUGGGAAAUUUGCUAAAGAUUCAUCGCUGAUAGAUAGGCAUGCGUUCCAUUAGGCAGUUGGCGGGGUAACGGCCCACCAAACCGACGAUGGAUAGGGGUUCUGAGAGGAAGGUCCCCCACAUUGGUACUGAGACACGGACCAAACUCCUACGGGAGGCAGCAGUGAGGAAUAUUGGUCAAUGGGCGUAAGCCUGAACCAGCCAAGUCGCGUGAGGGAUGAAGGUUCUAUGGAUCGUAAACCUCUUUUAUAAGGGAAUAAAGUGCGGGACGUGUCCCGUUUUGUAUGUACCUUAUGAAUAAGGAUCGGCUAACUCCGUGCCAGCAGCCGCGGUAAUACGGAGGAUCCGAGCGUUAUCCGGAUUUAUUGGGUUUAAAGGGUGCGUAGGCGGCCUUUUAAGUCAGCGGUGAAAGUCUGUGGCUCAACCAUAGAAUUGCCGUUGAAACUGGGGGGCUUGAGUAUGUUUGAGGCAGGCGGAAUGCGUGGUGUAGCGGUGAAAUGCUUAGAUAUCACGCAGAACCCCGAUUGCGAAGGCAGCCUGCCAAGCCAUGACUGACGCUGAUGCACGAAAGCGUGGGGAUCAAACAGGAUUAGAUACCCUGGUAGUCCACGCAGUAAACGAUGAUCACUAGCUGUUUGCGAUACACAGUAAGCGGCACAGCGAAAGC